GGAAGGGUGGCCCAGUGGUCAGGGAAGCAGCCUGGACUUGGGAGGCCUGGGUUUGAAUCCCUGCUCUGCCA
RNAcentral lists this transfer RNA (71 nucleotides) under Chelonia mydas (Green sea turtle). It matches the Rfam family "tRNA". Rfam says of the family: Transfer RNA (tRNA) molecules are approximately 80 nucleotides in length. Their secondary structure includes four short double-helical elements and three loops (D, anti-codon, and T loops). Lineage: Eukaryota; Metazoa; Chordata; Testudines; Cheloniidae. The record is from Rfam by way of RNAcentral.